GACGCAACGCGAAGAACCUUACCUACUCUUGACAUCUAGCGAAGAUUGUAGAGAUACGAUUGUGCCUUCGGGAACGCUAAGACAGGUGCUGCAUGGCUGUCGUCAGCUCGUGUUGUGAAAUGUUGGGUUAAGUCCCGCAACGAGCGCAACCCUUAUCCUUAGUUGCCAGCACGUAAUGGUGGGAACUCUAGGGAGACUGCCGGUGAUAAACCGGAGGUAAGGUGGGGACGACGUCAAGUCAUCAUGGCCCUUACGGCCUGGGCUACACACCGUG
This 274-nucleotide ribosomal RNA is filed under the name uncultured bacterium. RNAcentral describes it as "partial 16S ribosomal RNA". It matches the Rfam family "Bacterial small subunit ribosomal RNA", at positions 953 to 1221 of the family's 1533-position model. The record is from RNAcentral.